This 563-nucleotide ribosomal RNA is filed under the name Streptomyces anulatus. Its description in RNAcentral is "bacterial SSU rRNA". It matches the Rfam family "Bacterial small subunit ribosomal RNA", at positions 75 to 654 of the family's 1533-position model. The record is from RNAcentral. Lineage: Bacteria; Bacillati; Actinomycetota; Actinomycetes; Kitasatosporales; Streptomycetaceae.
GCCCUUCGGGGUGGAUUAGUGGCGAACGGGUGAGUAACACGUGGGCAAUCUGCCCUUCACUCUGGGACAAGCCCUGGAAACGGGGUCUAAUACCGGAUAACACUCUGUCCCUCAUGGGACGGGGUUAAAAGCUCCGGCGGUGAAGGAUGAGCCCGCGGCCUAUCAGCUUGUUGGUGGGGUAAUGGCCUACCAAGGCGACGACGGGUAGCCGGCCUGAGAGGGCGACCGGCCACACUGGGACUGAGACACGGCCCAGACUCCUACGGGAGGCAGCAGUGGGGAAUAUUGCACAAUGGGCGAAAGCCUGAUGCAGCGACGCCGCGUGAGGGAUGACGGCCUUCGGGUUGUAAACCUCUUUCAGCAGGGAAGAAGCGAAAGUGACGGUACCUGCAGAAGAAGCGCCGGCUAACUACGUGCCAGCAGCCGCGGUAAUACGUAGGGCGCAAGCGUUGUCCGGAAUUAUUGGGCGUAAAGAGCUCGUAGGCGGCUUGUCACGUCGGAUGUGAAAGCUCGGGGCUUAACCCCGAGUCUGCAUUCGAUACGGGCUAGCUAGAGUGUGGUAG